This 678-nucleotide ribosomal RNA is filed under the name uncultured bacterium. RNAcentral describes it as "bacterial SSU rRNA". It matches the Rfam family "Bacterial small subunit ribosomal RNA", at positions 54 to 749 of the family's 1533-position model. The record is from RNAcentral.
CAUGCAAGUCGAGCGGUAAGGCCCUUCGGGGUACACGAGCGGCGAACGGGUGAGUAACACGUGGGUGACCUGCCCUCAGCUCUGGGAUAAGCCUGGGAAACUGGGUCUAAUACCGGAUAUGACCUUUCCUCGCAUGGGGUUGGGUGGAAAGUUUUUCGGCUGGGGAUGGGCCCGCGGCCUAUCAGCUUGUUGGUGGGGUGAUGGCCUACCAAGGCGACGACGGGUAGCCGGCCUGAGAGGGCGACCGGCCACACUGGGACUGAGAUACGGCCCAGACUCCUACGGGAGGCAGCAGUGGGGAAUAUUGCGCAAUGGGCGAAAGCCUGACGCAGCGACGCCGCGUGGGGGAUGACGGCCUUCGGGUUGUAAACCUCUUUCGACCGGGACGAAGGGUGACUGACGGUACCGGUAGAAGAAGCACCGGCCAACUACGUGCCAGCAGCCGCGGUAAUACGUAGGGUGCGAGCGUUGUCCGGAAUUAUUGGGCGUAAAGAGCUCGUAGGCGGUGUGUCGCGUCGGUCGUGAAAACUUGGGGCUUAACCCUGAGCGUGCGGUCGAUACGGGCAUCACUUGAGUUCGGCAGGGGAGACUGGAAUUCCUGGUGUAGCGGUGAAAUGCGCAGAUAUCANGAGGAACACCGGUGGCGAANGCGGGUCUCUGGGCCGAUACUGACGCUGA